UACGUAGGGUGCAAGCGUUGUUCGGAUUCAUUGGGCGUAAAGGGUGCGUAGGCGGCGCGGUAAGUCGGGUGUGAAAUCUUGGAGCUUAACUCCGAAACUGCAUUCGAUACUGCCGUGCUUGAGGACUGGAGAGGAGACUGGAAUUUACGGUGUAGCGGUGAAAUGCGUAGAUAUCGUAAGGAAGACCAGUGGCGAAGGCGGGUCUCUGGGACGGUACUGACGCUGAGACGCGAAAGCGUGGGGAGCGAACAGG
This 253-nucleotide ribosomal RNA is filed under the name uncultured bacterium. RNAcentral's name for it is "partial 16S ribosomal RNA". It matches the Rfam family "Bacterial small subunit ribosomal RNA", at positions 524 to 776 of the family's 1533-position model. The record is from RNAcentral.